Lolium perenne is the source of this 812-nucleotide long non-coding RNA. RefSeq lists it as uncharacterized. NCBI's taxonomy places the organism in Eukaryota, Viridiplantae, Streptophyta, Magnoliopsida, Poales, Poaceae. The record is from RefSeq and is a predicted model, not a curated record.
GGGUAGCUAGGUCCGGAUGAAGGUGGCCGCAGCCUUCCGCAGUCCCGCUUUGCCCUCUCGGCCCGCCGCCCGCACCCGCACGUUCCCCACCCGCGCCGCCGUCCGUCUUCUCUGCGCCUCCAAACACCGAAACACGAUAGGGCUCUGCCGUCCCCCUGCAGCCCCGCUCCGUCCAUCCCCACCUGCGCCACCGGUGCCUACGCUUGUCGCCGUCGUCGUCCCUCCCUAGGCUGCACCUCCCUUCGUCCUCGAAGACACCUCGGCUAGCCGACGCUGUCCCUGUUGCCUCCUGCGGAUGGAGGAGGACAAGGAGAAUAGGAGAUACUGGGGGCGCCGGGGAAGGAAGAGGAGAUGCCGUGGGUGGUGGGGAAAGAGGAGGAGGUGCCGGGAGUGGUGGGGAAGGAAGAGGAGAUGCAGGAGCCGAUUGCCCGUUCUCAGGAUUUGACACUACUGUUUUUUCAAGGUUAAUGAUUGGCUAGAGAGACUGGUUGAUGAGAAAGGUGAAGACUUGUACAGAUUACAGGGUGUUAUAUCUGUAAAUGAGUCAACUGGAUGCUUUGUAUUCCAGGGUGUGCACUCCAUGCUGCAAGGAUGCCUAGCGAAGCCAUGGGAGCCUGAUGAGAAGAGAAUCAACAAGUUUGUGUUUAUAGGUAGAAAUUUGGACGAAGCUGCACUAAGGAAAGCCUUCAAAGGUUGCCUGCUAUGAAUACUCUGGUCAUGUAUUCCUCCUUGGGAGAUUGAGGCUCGAACAACUAUGCCGCGGUUAAAUUAGGCACAGGAGCAAGUACAAGCCCCUUAUCUUUUUGGUGUGA